AGCAUAUCAAUAAGCGGAGGAAAAGAAACCAACAGGGAUUGCCCUAGUAACGGCGAGUGAAGCGGCAACAGCUCAAAUUUGAAAUCUGGCUCUUUUAGGGUCCGAGUUGUAAUUUGUAGAGGGCGCUUUGGCGUUGGCAGCGGUCUAAGUUCCUUGGAACAGGACGUCACAGAGGGUGAGAAUCCCGUACGUGGUCGCUUGUCUUCGCCGUGUAAAGCCCCUUCGACGAGUCGAGUUGUUUGGGAAUGCAGCUCUAAAUGGGAGGUAAAUUUCUUCUAAAGCUAAAUAUUGGCCAGAGACCGAUAGCGCACAAGUAGAGUGAUCGAAAGAUGAAAAGCACUUUGGAAAGAGAGUCAAAAAGCACGUGAAAUUGUUGAAAGGGAAGCGCUUGCAGCCAGACUUGCCUGUAGUUGCUCAUCCGGGAUUCUUCCCGGUGCACUCUUCUGCGGGCAGGCCAGCAUCAGUUCAGGCGGCUGGAUAAAGACCUAUGUCAUGUAGCUCUCUUCGGGGAGUGUUAUAGGGUAGGUGGAAUGCAGCCAGCUUGAACUGAGGUCCGCGCAUCUGCUAGGAUGCUGGCGUAAUGGCUGUAAGCGGCCCGUCUUGAAACACGGACCAAGGAGUCUAACAUCUAUGCGAGUGUUUGGGUGUCAAGCCCGAGCGCGUAAUGAAAGUGAACGGAGGUGGGAACCCCUCGGGGUGCACCAUCGACCGAUCCUGAUGUCUUCGGAUGGAUUUGAGUAAGAGCAUAGCUGUUGGGACCCGAAAGAUGGUGAACUAUGCCUGAAUAGGGUGAAGCCAGAGGAAACUCUGGUGGAGGCUCGCAGCGGUUCUGACGUGCAAAUCGAUCGUCAAAUUUGGGCAUAGGGGGCGAAAGACUAAUCUAAACUAUCUAAUUAGCUCGUUCCUGCCGAGUUU
Molecule: ribosomal RNA, 915 nt
Filed under: Myxocyclus polycystis
Lineage: Eukaryota; Fungi; Ascomycota; Dothideomycetes; Pleosporales; Pleomassariaceae
Description: LSU rRNA
Rfam family: Eukaryotic large subunit ribosomal RNA
Source: RNAcentral